UACUGCUAUCGGUGUUCGACUAAGCCAUGCUAGUUAAAUGUUCUUCGUGAACAUAGCGGACUGCUCAGUAACACGUGGACAAUCUGCCCUUGGGUUCAGCAUAACCCCGGGAAACUGGGGAUAAUUCUGAGUAGAUCACAUAUGCUGGAAUGCUUUGUGAUUAAAAGAUCCGUCGCCCAAGGAUGGGUCUGCGGCCUAUCAGGUUGUAGUGGGUCUAGAGUACCUACUAGCCAACGACGGGUACGGGUUGUGAGAGCAAGAGCCCGGAGAUGGAUUCUGAGACAUUAAUCCAGGCCCUACGGGGCGCAGCAGGCGCGAAACCUUUACACUGCGGGAAACCGCGAUAAGGGGACACCGAGCGCCAGCAUACAAUGCUGGCUGUCCACAUGUGUAAAUAGCAUGUGAUAGCAAGGGCCGGGCAAGACCGGUGCCAGCCGCCGCGGUAACACCGGCGGCCCGAGUGGUAAUCACUAUUAUUGGGUCUAAAGGGUCCGUAGCCGGUUUGAUCAGUCUUCCGGGAAAUCUGACAGCUCAACUGUUAGGCUUCCGGGGGAUACUGUCAGGCUUGGGACCGGGAGAGGUAAGAGGUACUACAGGGGUAGGAGUGAAAUCUUGUAAUCCCUGUGGGACCACCAGUGGCGAAGGCGUCUUACCAGAACGGGUCCG
This 666-nucleotide ribosomal RNA is filed under the name uncultured archaeon. Its description in RNAcentral is "bacterial SSU rRNA". It matches the Rfam family "Archaeal small subunit ribosomal RNA", at positions 25 to 693 of the family's 1478-position model. The record is from RNAcentral.